Molecule: ribosomal RNA, 253 nt
Filed under: uncultured bacterium
Lineage: Bacteria
Description: partial 16S ribosomal RNA
Rfam family: Bacterial small subunit ribosomal RNA
Source: RNAcentral
GACAGAGGGGGCAAACGUUGUUCGGAAUUACUGGGCGUAAAGCGUGUGUAGGCGGCUUGUUAAGUCGGGUGUGAAAGCCCCGGGCUCAACCCGGGAAGUGCACUCGAAACUGGCAAGCUAGAGUACUGGAGAGGUUGGUGGAAUUCUCGGUGUAGAGGUGAAAUUCGUAGAUAUCGAGAGGAACACCGGUGGCGAAGGCGGCCAACUGGACAGAUACUGACGCUGAGACACGAAAGCGUGGGGAGCAAACAGG